Molecule: microRNA, 20 nt
Filed under: Glycine max (soybean)
Lineage: Eukaryota; Viridiplantae; Streptophyta; Magnoliopsida; Fabales; Fabaceae
Description: gma-miR5770c
Source: miRBase by way of RNAcentral
UAGGACUAUGGUUUGGAUUU